Molecule: long non-coding RNA, 271 nt
Organism: Asparagus officinalis (garden asparagus)
Lineage: Eukaryota; Viridiplantae; Streptophyta; Magnoliopsida; Asparagales; Asparagaceae
Exons: 4
Source: RefSeq, a predicted model, not a curated record
AAGAUAAUACUAAAAAUCAUUUUAAAGCUAAGUCAGAUAUCUGCAUCAUGAUGCACUUAUCCUUUGUUGUAUAUUCACAACAAAGGACUCCUGAAUUGUGGCCCAACAAUUUCAGGUCAAAUUACUUCUUGAAAUGCUUGUGAGAAAAUGCGGUGUAGAUGCUGUUAGAGCAGUGAUGCCUGAGGAGCAUAUGAAACUCCUUACAAACAUAAGAAAGAUCAAAGAGUGGAAAGAAAGAAAAGCAAAAUCUGAUGAGGAUUAAGAAUCAAUU